GUCAAGCUAAAAGAGACACACUAAAGUUGGUGCCAUAGGACUUGCCUUAUUAAAUGCUUCACUUCCCCUCCUUUUCUAUUCAAAUUUCAAAUUCACACCUCUUUCUAAAUCACUUAACACUUUUUUCUUCUUUUCAUUGCUCUACUUUUAGUUCAAAUAUUUUCAAGUGAAAGAAAUAUAGAGUGAUGGAAACAACAAUAUGGUAGAGAAAGCUUUGUGAGGAAAUAAGCUUUGAAAAAAAAAAAGGAUCUGAAAAUGAGUACAGCAAGAUUCAUCAAAUGUGUCACUGUUGGAGAUGGAGCUGUUGGAAAGACUUGUAUGCUCAUCUCUUAUACUAGCAACACAUUUCCUACGGUAUGACAAAUAACACAUCAUGUUUUGUUGUUUUAACAUGUAAAUGUUUUAAGGAAAAGUAGACUCUGGUGGUUUAGAGUUCAGUUCGGAUUGUAUUGAUCUUAGUUGAAAUUUAUUAAAUGUUAAAUUUAAUUUGCUGUUCUCUUAUUGUUAUUUUUUUGAAGGAUUAUGUGCCUACAGUUUUUGAUAACUUCAGUGCAAAUGUUGUGGUUGAUGGAAGCACAGUUAAUCUUGGAUUAUGGGACACUGCUGGUAAAAUGAACACUUUUAAAAAUUUAAACUUUGUUAAUUUCUUGUUAGUUAUUAUUUUUUCAAAAUUUUACUAAUUUAUUUUGGGUUUAUAAAUUAAGGACAAGAGGAUUACAAUAGGCUUAGGCCUUUGAGUUACAGAGGAGCAGAUGUGUUCUUGUUGGCCUUUUCCUUACUGAGCAGAGCCAGCUAUGAGAAUAUCUCUAAAAAGGUAUAACUAUGAGACACAUUUUGUGAAUUGUGAUUAUAUGGUAUAAUUAAAUUUAACACUUGGGAUAAUUUUAUGUAUGCAGUGGAUUCCUGAACUGAGACAUUAUGCACCAACUGUACCGAUUGUACUUGUGGGAACCAAACUUGGUAGGAGCUAAACAUAUAUAUAACUUACUUUGCAAUUUGGUAUUAAUUAUGCUAUAAGUUUAGACUUUGGUAAUUUAAAUGAUUAAUUGGAUUUUUAUUUUAUAUUGGGUUGUAGAUUUGAGGGAAGAUAGGCAGUAUCUGAUUGAUCAUCCUGGAGCUACACCAAUUACUACUGCCCAGGCAAAUCAUUACUAACUAAAGCUGUCUUUUGGUUAUACUUAAAAAAUCUAGGAAUUAGAAUUGUUGCAGUUACGCAAUUUAAAAUUUCGACAGUUGAUGAUUUUUUGUUCAACGGUCGAAAUCUUCUUAAUUGCGUGACUGCCGUAAAGUCCUUAUCCAAUUUUUUAUGGUUUUGUUUUAGAGUACAAUUAAAUCAUGUAAAAUUUAUGGACAGGGAGAAGAGUUGAAAAGGGCAAUUGGUGCAGCUGUGUACUUAGAAUGCAGCUCCAAGACUCAGCAGGUUCUGAUUAUUUAAUAAUCAUACAGUUAUACUAAUUAAUACUAGCUUUUAGAUUUGUCUAAACAAGGUUCAAGAGAAGUCUGCUUUAAAAAUGUUGUUUUAAAUAUAAUUUUAUUACAUGCAAUUACAGUAUUUUUUUUAAGUUUCUCAAGGUUAUUUUAUUUCAAAUUAAAAAGUAAUUGCUUUUUAGUCUUUUAAAUCAAUUUAUUGAGCCACUUAAAAGACUAAAAACAACUUUUUGUUAAUAUGCAGGAAUUGAAUCUAUUUCAAGUUAAAAAAUUGAAUCUAAACAAAACAAAACUUUAUUAAAAUCAAAACACACUAUAAUUACAAGAAGUAAAAUCAUAUUUAAUCCUUAAAUAUUUAAUUAUUAGCCUUGGUCUAAUUUGAUGUGUUUAUUUCAGAAUGUGAAGGCUGUGUUUGAUGCUGCAAUCAAGGUUGUUUUGCAGCCUCCUAAGGCAAAGAAAAAAAGAAAGAAGAACAGAUCAUGUAUUUUCCUUUAAUUGGUUGUUAAUCCAUGCUUGAUUCAUGUUGUAACAUUUUAUUGUACGGUUCAGCCUUUUGAACAUAUGUAUUUCAAACUCUACCUUCAUUACGUUUUCUUGUAUUUUUUUUGUUGUUGAUGGGUCCAAAAUGAUGUUCCUAUGUUAUAUGUAACUGCGUAUUCAAUGAUAAAUUUUGUGAUAAGAAAUAAUAGCAUUAAUGUUGCUCACAAUAUUUCAUAGUAUAUUUUUUAAAGAUUUUAAAUAAAGAAAUCUAACAUCCCUUCUCUUUCUCCAUUGGAUUUCAAUCCAUUCCAUCCUUUUCAAAAUGGACCACAUACAAUAAUUUGACAUUUUAUAAAAAAAAAUAUGAUUUAUUUAUGUUCUAUUUUAUGUCAAAUUUUAUAUUCCAAUAAUAUUUCUUAAUAUAUAAAUAUAGUAUUAAUAGUGAUGGUUAAUAUUCCUACCAUUAUUUAUUGUUGUGAUUAAUUAAAUAUAUGAUUCAGAUCCUUUUCACAAGCUGUAAAAAAAGCUUUUAAGUUUUGUCAUUUAAUUGUAACAAAGGCCGAAAGGUUAAGCAACUAUAAUUUUUUAUGGACUUUGAACCCACCUAAACAGCAACAAUUACAUCAAGCUAUAGAUACAGAACAAAAAUCAGACUAGCUCGUAGAAGAUGUUUAAUAAACUAAUAGUUUGUUACAAAUCUAUAAACUAAUAUAGAAGCGCCUGUAGCUCAGUGGAUAGAGCGUCUGUUUCCUAAGCAGAAAGUCGUAGGUUCGACCCCUACCUGGCGCGUUGAAAUUGUUUUUAUUUUCGAAUCAAAAUUAAUAAAUGUUAUUUGAAAUACAGCCACCUCCUAAAUUUUUUGCGUUUUUUUUUGUUAUUAUAGUCCGCCAUACUUAUAACUAAAUUUUGAAUAAUAAAUUUUUUUAACUGUAUUUUUUUAUUUAACAAUCGUCUUAAAAUGUAAUCGUUAACUAAUAACUUACUAUUGUUUUUGGUUGAUAAAUAACUUAAUAUUUUAACAUAAUUUUUAAUCUAUUCUAAUUUAGUUUUAAGAAAUAUAAAUAAACUUUGUAAAGAUUAAAACAAAAUAAUAAUAAUUAAUGGUAAAUAAUUAUAUAUUGAAAAUUAUUAAAAAAAAAUUAUUGACUAAAAAUCACAAAACAUGUAUUUUUAGAAAUUAAAAUAUAUUUAAAUCUAUUUUAAUUCAUUUUUUUAUUGUGGUUUAAUUUAGUAUACUAAUCUAAAACUCUGUCCUUCCCCUUAAAGAAACAGAAAAACAAAAUGCAAUAAUGGUCAAGCUAAAAGAGACACACUAAAGUUGGUGCCAUAGGACUUGCCUUAUUAAAUGCUUCACUUCCCCUCCUUUUCUAUUCAAAUUUCAAAUUCACACCUCUUUCUAAAUCACUUAACACUUUUUUCUUCUUUUCAUUGCUCUACUUUUAGUUCAAAUAUUUUCAAGUGAAAGAAAUAUAGAGUGAUGGAAACAACAAUAUGGUAGAGAAAGCUUU
This 3416-nucleotide long non-coding RNA is filed under the name Cicer arietinum (chickpea). RNAcentral's name for it is "long non-coding RNA (CARI_LNC000095)". The stretch from base 2625 to 2697 matches the Rfam family "tRNA". The record is from RNAcentral. Lineage: Eukaryota; Viridiplantae; Streptophyta; Magnoliopsida; Fabales; Fabaceae.